GACGAACGCUGGCGGCGUGCUUAACACAUGCAAGUCGAGCGGUAAGGCCCUUUCGGGGGUACACGAGCGGCGAACGGGUGAGUAACACGUGGGUGACCUGCCCUCAGCUCUGGGAUAAGCCUGGGAAACUGGGUCUAAUACCGGAUAUGACUCCAUGACGCAUGUUGUGGGGUGGAAAGCCUUGUGCGGCUGAGGAUGGGCCCGCGGCCUAUCAGCUUGUUGGGGGGGU
This 229-nucleotide ribosomal RNA is filed under the name uncultured bacterium. Its description in RNAcentral is "partial 16S ribosomal RNA". It matches the Rfam family "Bacterial small subunit ribosomal RNA", at positions 28 to 258 of the family's 1533-position model. The record is from RNAcentral.